Molecule: Y RNA, 111 nt
Filed under: Suricata suricatta (meerkat)
Lineage: Eukaryota; Metazoa; Chordata; Mammalia; Carnivora; Herpestidae
Description: Y RNA (ENSSSUG00005021337.1)
Rfam family: Y RNA
About the family: Y RNAs are components of the Ro ribonucleoprotein particle (Ro RNP), in association with Ro60 and La proteins. The Y RNAs and Ro60 and La proteins are well conserved, but the function of the Ro RNP is not known. In humans the RNA component can be one of four small RNAs -- hY1, hY3, hY4 and hY5.
Source: Rfam by way of RNAcentral
GGCUGGUCUGAAGAUAGCAAGUUAUUUCAACUGAUGGCUCACAUUCAGUUACAGCUCCAACUCCUUGUUCUACUCUUCACCCCCCUUCUUGCUACUGUGUUUGACUCUUAA